This is a long non-coding RNA of Carassius carassius (crucian carp), 681 nucleotides long. RefSeq lists it as uncharacterized. The transcript is spliced from 3 exons. Lineage: Eukaryota; Metazoa; Chordata; Actinopteri; Cypriniformes; Cyprinidae. The record is from RefSeq and is a predicted model, not a curated record.
GCAGAAAUGGGAAAGUAUGCUUCUAGAUCCAGAUCUGAAAAUCAGACAAAAGGAACUUGAAAAAUGCCAGAAAAAGAAAUUAGAGCUUCAUAAAAAUACAGUUGUUUUCACAGAUGGCUCAAAAACGGCCGCAGACGAGGAAGCUCACUAGGCUUUCAUUCUGAAACAGAGCAACAAGGUCAUAGCUUCAAAAGAGGGAGUAGUGCAAGGCACAGUAUAGUACGCAGAGCUCAUGGCAGUGUUCCAGGCUUUGAAAACACUGACAAACUUGGAUAUUUACAGGCAAUAAUAGUGACGGAUUGCAGUUGCAACAGGAAUUAAUGACAAUUUGCAAAUCUGGAAUGAGAACGGUUACACCAAGUCAAAAGAGAUCAAACGUCAAAAGACCAGCCAGAAGACUCUUGUUGAGUAGGAGACCACGUCUGGAUCAGGAAUGAUGAAAUUACAAGACGGAGAUGAGAGAGAGAAAUGGGCCAGGAGAAUACAACCCUGGCGAAAACCCUGUAUACCACGACCUUGUAUGACGGUAUUAUUAGUAACAGGGGUUGUGAUUUUAACAGGAAUUUGGCCAAAAAUUGAUUUCACUACAAAAUUGAUUGUGGUUGAUGAGAUUACUGUUAGAGAAAUUUCCAACUGUACUAUAGUGACUAAAUUCUUUUCAGGGCCAUGUGAGCAAAAAAC